This 499-nucleotide ribosomal RNA is filed under the name uncultured bacterium. RNAcentral's name for it is "partial 16S ribosomal RNA". It matches the Rfam family "Bacterial small subunit ribosomal RNA", at positions 28 to 507 of the family's 1533-position model. The record is from RNAcentral.
GACGAACGCUGGCGGCGUGCCUAAUACAUGCAAGUCGAGCGGACUUUCAAGAAGCUUGCUUUUUGAAAGUUAGCGGCGGACGGGUGAGUAACACGUGGGCAACCUGCCUGCAAGACGGGGAUAACUCCGGGAAACCGGGGCUAAUACCGGAUAAUAUCUUCCUUCGCAUGAAGGAAGGUUGAAAGGCGGCGCAAGCUGCCGCUUGCAGAUGGGCCCGCGGCGCAUUAGCUAGUUGGUGAGGUAACGGCUCACCAAGGCGGCGAUGCGUAGCCGACCUGAGAGGGUGAGCGGCCACACUGGGACGGAGACACGGCCCAGACUCCUACGGGAGGCAGCAGUAGGGAAUCUUCCGCAAUGGACGAAAGUCUGACGGAGCAACGCCGAGUGAGCGAAGAAGGUCUUCGGAUCGUAAAGCUCUGUUGUCAGGGAAGAACAAGUACCGUUCGAACAGGGCGGUACCUUGACGGUACCUGACCAGAAAGCCACGGCUAACUACGUG